RNAcentral lists this ribosomal RNA (449 nucleotides) under uncultured bacterium. Its description in RNAcentral is "bacterial SSU rRNA". It matches the Rfam family "Bacterial small subunit ribosomal RNA", at positions 354 to 796 of the family's 1533-position model. The record is from RNAcentral.
GUCGAGAAUUUUUCACAAUGGGCGAAAGCCUGAUGGAGCGACGCCGCGUGGGGGAUGAAUGGCUUCGGCCCGUAAACCCCUGUCAUUCGGGAUCAAAUCCAGCAACCUAAUACGUUGCUGGCUGAUAGUACUGAAAGAGGAAGGGACGGCUAACUCUGUGCCAGCAGCCGCGGUAAUACAGAGGUCCCAAGCGUUGUUCGGAUUUACUGGGCGUAAAGGGAGCGUAGGUGGCGAACUAAGUCUAAUGUGAAAGCUCUGAGCUUAACUCAGAAAUGGCAUUGGAUACUAGUUUGCUUGAGGAUUGGAGGGGAGACUGGAAUUCUCGGUGUAGCAGUGAAAUGCGUAGAUAUCGAGAGGAACACCAGUGGCGAAGGCGAGUCUCUGGACAAUUCCUGACACUGAUGCUCGAAAGCUAGGGGAGCAAACGGGAUUAGAUACCCCGGUAGUCC